AGCAGAGCACUCCUACGGGAGGCAGCAGUGAGGAAUAUUGGUCAAUGGAGGGAACUCUGAACCAGCCAUCCCGCGUGUAGGAAGACGGCCUUAUGGGUUGUAAACUACUUUUAUACAGGAAGAAACGUACCCUCGUGAGGGUGCCUGACGGUACUGUAGGAAUAAAGCACCCGGCUAACUCCGUGCCCAGCAGCCAGCGGGUAAUGACGGAGGGUGCGAGCGUUAUCCGGAUUUAUUAGGGUUUAAAGGGUCCGUAGGCGGAUUAAUAAGUCAGUGGUGAAAUCCCAUCGCUUAACGAUGGAACUGCCAUUGAUACUGUUAGUCUUGAAUGAGGGUGCAGUGGUUGGAAUGUGUAGUGUAGCGGUGAAAUGCAUAGAUAUUACACAGAACACCGAUUGCGAAGGCAGAUCACUAACCCUAAAUUGACGCUGAGGGACGAAAAGCGUGGGGAGCGAACAGGAUUAGAUACCCUGGUAG
Molecule: ribosomal RNA, 477 nt
Filed under: uncultured bacterium
Lineage: Bacteria
Description: bacterial SSU rRNA
Rfam family: Bacterial small subunit ribosomal RNA
Source: RNAcentral